GGGCCGGAUCCACUCCGCUCGUCCCCCAUUACCUUCCCCCGGAGCCGCGGCUGCCGCGUCGCCUUGCAGCCGAGCAGCCACAACACCCAGCAGCGCCGGUGCCCCCACCUCCCAUCUUGGCCGCAUCAAGCACCGUCGAUGCAGUCACGCGCGCCCCCCAGCCACCUCCAAUUUCUGCGUGAGCACUGCCGCCAAACCACCAGUAGCCGCACCAUCUUCCUCGCCGUGCCGCCUCUUCUAGCAUUGGAUCCGGUGAGAUCCGUGUCAUCCAGAGCUUCAGUCACCGGAUCUGGCCCGCCCCACCUCGCAGCGCCGCCCCACCAUGGCCGGGGUUGCUGCACCACCCCAUGAUGGACGGCCUCCACGUCCCCGCGAUGGACACGGCCGUAGCUCCAUCCCGUGCUGCCCCGACCGCGGCCCCAGCUCCACCCCGUAUGGCUUCCACGGCCCCGCCCCGACUGCGGCCCCAGCUUCGCCCCGGAUAGCCUCCACAGCCCCGCCCUGCUUGCAGCUUGAAGUCGGUGAGGAGCUUGGUCUGCAGCUCGGUUGCUUGUCUAUUUGCAGUACACGCUGCUGGCAAUGCAAUCCGAUGAUUAUUUGACCGUUCCCGAGUAUUCGUUGUUCGAUUUGGGCUGGACGGAGAACCACCGCAUCUCCCUCCCCUAGAGCCUUUUUCCUUUGCUCCCCACUGACAGACAGACAACCACGCAAGGAGAGGAAAAGAACAUCGACGAGAGCCCAAAGACGCUAUGAUGGAAUUCAGUCCACCUCGUCGGAGAAGGAUGGCAGAGUGAUGCCUUGCAAUAUAGUGGAGCACUCCUUGCCAUGCGAGUGUGCAGUGUGGAAGGCAAUGUCGUGCGGUUCUCCGUGUGAAUCCCUUCCAGGGUUGUUGCUAUUCAAAAACAUUUUCUUGUGUUUUUUGGAAAAUUUAAUGAGUCUUUAUCAAUGCAGUGCGGUUUAGAAGCUUCCGUCCAGUAUAUUUUUCAAAUGGAUAUUUUGCAUGUAUUCGAGACAUGGAGAAAAGAGCAAAUGCGGUCC
Long non-coding RNA from Triticum aestivum (bread wheat), 1038 nucleotides. RefSeq lists it as uncharacterized. The record is from RefSeq and is a predicted model, not a curated record. NCBI's taxonomy places the organism in Eukaryota, Viridiplantae, Streptophyta, Magnoliopsida, Poales, Poaceae. The transcript has 2 exons.